This 20-nucleotide unclassified non-coding RNA is filed under the name Dictyostelium discoideum. Lineage: Eukaryota; Evosea; Eumycetozoa; Dictyosteliales; Dictyosteliaceae. The record is from RNAcentral.
CACUUGAGUUAACUGAUUUG